UUUUUAGCAGUGAGGAAAUAUUGGUCAAUAGCCUAACGGCUGAACCAGCAACUAGGAGGAAUGUAAAACUACUGUAAAAAGAAGUUUUCUAUAUUUGUAAAUCGUUAAUCAAAAUAGAGUUAACGAAGUUAAGUAAAAUUCUGAAUAGAGAUUGAUAAUGACAGUUUCUAUGAAUAUGUCUUGACCAAUUCAUGUGCCAGCAGUCGCGGUAACACAUGUAAGACUGGUGUUAUUCAUCUUUAAAAGGUUUAAAGGGUACCUAGACAGUUUAUUAAGCCUAAAACGGGAACUAAUUUAACUAGAGUUUAAUGUAAGAAGAAUAGUACGGUGGUGAAGAGAUAAAAUUCGGUGAUACUGCUUAGAAACUGGCAAAAGCGAAGGCAAUCUUCUAUGUAAAAACUGACGUUGAGGGACGAAGGCUCGAUAAAAAUAAUAGGAUUAGAUACCCUAGUAUUGUGGGCAGAAAAUGAUGAAUGUCAUAUGCAAGAAAUAUUUUGUGUAUAAAUGAAAGUGUAAGCAUUCCACCUCAAGAGUAAUAUGGCAACAUAUAAACUGAAAUCAUUAGACCGUUUCUGAAACUCGUAGUGAAGUAUGUUGUUUAAUUUGAUGAUCCACAAAGAACCUUACCACAAUUUGAAUAAUUAAUUACAAGCGUUGCACGGCUGUCUUCAGUUAAUGUCGUGAGACUUUGGUUAGAUCCAUUAAAUUAACGUAUUCCCUUACUUUAUUUAUUAUAAAAUAGUUCGCCGCUAUACAGGUAGUGAUAUAAGGGACCAAGACAAGUCAUCAUGGCCUA
RNAcentral lists this ribosomal RNA (796 nucleotides) under Fissurina aggregatula. RNAcentral describes it as "SSU rRNA". It matches the Rfam family "Bacterial small subunit ribosomal RNA", at positions 345 to 1202 of the family's 1533-position model. Lineage: Eukaryota; Fungi; Ascomycota; Lecanoromycetes; Ostropales; Graphidaceae. The record is from RNAcentral.